RNAcentral lists this ribosomal RNA (726 nucleotides) under Streptomyces nogalater. Its description in RNAcentral is "bacterial SSU rRNA". It matches the Rfam family "Bacterial small subunit ribosomal RNA", at positions 80 to 820 of the family's 1533-position model. The record is from RNAcentral. Lineage: Bacteria; Bacillati; Actinomycetota; Actinomycetes; Kitasatosporales; Streptomycetaceae.
CUUCGGGGUGGAUUAGUGGCGAACGGGUGAGUAACACGUGGGCAAUCUGCCCUGCACUCUGGGACAAGCCCUGGAAACGGGGUCUAAUACCGGAUACGAGCCUCCACCGCAUGGUGGUGGUUGGAAAGCUCCGGCGGUGCAGGAUGGGCCCGCGGCCUAUCAGCUUGUUGGUGAGGUAAUGGCUCACCAAGGCGACGACGGGUAGCCGGCCUGAGAGGGCGACCGGCCACACUGGGACUGAGACACGGCCCAGACUCCUACGGGAGGCAGCAGUGGGGAAUAUUGCACAAUGGGCGCAAGCCUGAUGCAGCGACGCCGCGUGAGGGAUGACGGCCUUCGGGUUGUAAACCUCUUUCAGCAGGGAAGAAGCGUGAGUGACGGUACCUGCAGAAGAAGCGCCGGCUAACUACGUGCCAGCAGCCGCGGUAAUACGUAGGGCGCGAGCGUUGUCCGGAAUUAUUGGGCGUAAAGAGCUCGUAGGCGGCUUGUCGCGUCGGUUGUGAAAGCCCGGGGCUUAACCCCGGGUCUGCAGUCGAUACGGGCAGGCUAGAGUUCGGUAGGGGAGAUCGGAAUUCCUGGUGUAGCGGUGAAAUGCGCAGAUAUCAGGAGGAACACCGGUGGCGAAGGCGGAUCUCUGGGCCGAUACUGACGCUGAGGAGCGAAAGCGUGGGGAGCGAACAGGAUUAGAUACCCUGGUAGUCCACGCCGUAAACGGUGGGCACUAGG